GCUGCUGAGCCGUUGCUCAGGCAACUGAGGGACUGGUCCACCUGUAACAGCUGGUAACUCACCAGCCCAAAAGGUGUAGGGUUCCUUAAGCCAGGGUCUCGCUCGGAUCUUGUAUCUUCACAUCGCCUCUAAGUAGUAACUCUGUUAACGGCUGUUUGUUCAGAAAGUUGGAAAUACAAAACGAAGGAGUCAGCGGGGCUGCAUUCCUUCUGAAGACCUGAGGAGAAUCCUUUUGAUGAAUGCUAGCUAUAUGCAAAAUCUUGGAUUUGCGUAUGACUUCAAGAACAUCUACCAGCACUGUAUGAGAGAGAAAAAGCCAGCCUCCUCAAAUAACUUGGCUUAAACAAGCUAUUUAUGUGCAGAGAUAUUCAGACUGGACACAGCUAUCACUUGUGGCCUCUAAAGAGAAGAAUGACUACCCGUAUGCUUAGGGUUUUGAGCUUCAAAGGGCUCCAGCCAGACUACAGACUGUGAAAAUGGGUGUGGAGUCUCUUGUUAGUAGAGUUUGGAUUCCUCAUAAAUUCACCAGAUCAAGAAUUGCAGAUAAAUUGUUUUAGCCUAUACCCGAAGAUCAUGAAAAAUAUGGUUGGAACACCCAGAACCCUCAUAAACUGCACAUUCUUACAAGAAUAAGAAAUACAAGAAAAGACUAUGAUCAAGAUGUCCGGACUACAGAAGGCACACAGCCCUCAAAUUCACAAGAACAUCCUGUUGCCAAUGCAAGUGAAAGAGGUUAAACGCAUGAUAUGCAUCCAGCCCUGAAGCUACCACAGGGUCUUCCCACAGAAGAGAACAUAUCCAGCCUGUG
Molecule: non-coding RNA, 808 nt
Organism: Mus caroli (Ryukyu mouse)
Lineage: Eukaryota; Metazoa; Chordata; Mammalia; Rodentia; Muridae
Source: RefSeq, a predicted model, not a curated record